GAAAAUAUUUUUUUUUUGGAUUUUUUGAAAAUUGGGGCGAAACCGAUGAGGUUUGCCUACGUAUCUCACAUCCGGUGAGAAUCAGGCCAGCGUAGUUCGAGAAAAUUAAACAACUAUGUUUAAAACAAAACUCUUUUUCAAGUUAUUUUCCCUUUUCUAUUUUUUAAAAGCAAAGAAAAAUAACAACCCCUUUUUAUUUUUUUUUCAAACAAUUUUUUCCAAAAUAAAAGACUCCUUUUUUUCUAUUUUUCUUUUGCUUUUAAUAAAACUACAUAAAAACAUUUUCUUUAUUUUUUCAUUUUUCAAAAUUUCGGCAACGUUUCGACAGUACUUGGGCAUUAGAUUUUAUCCAAAUAUUAGCUCCCUAACCGCUAUUUCUCUCUUUUUCUCUUUUUGACUUUUCUCAAAUUCCGACAUUCCAGGAUUCAAAACCAGUCAACAUGCAGGUUCGAACAAAUAAAUGCAUAGAACAAGUAGGAUGCACUAGGAUGGUCUUUUUAUUUCAGGUUGCUAGCCCUAGACGGACCCAACCCCUGUGUUGAUCCCCCUUAGUCAAUUGUGGCAUGAUGAAAAUAAGUGUUCCUACUAGGGAUCCGGCAUGAAGUCAAGUUAUUCUAUGUUCAAAACCUGGGUCGGUGUUCUAGACAGUGUACCUGAGCGGACAACUCGAAUC
RNAcentral lists this long non-coding RNA (673 nucleotides) under Nicotiana benthamiana. Its description in RNAcentral is "long non-coding RNA (NBEN_LNC010731)". Lineage: Eukaryota; Viridiplantae; Streptophyta; Magnoliopsida; Solanales; Solanaceae. The record is from RNAcentral.